GUUUCAUCAGGUGCAGGUUUUCUUGCACUGUAUGGCUGCAGAUGACUCCUUCCCUUGGGAAGUCAAGGCCGAGCUCCCACUCCAGGACUUACACAGAGAACUGUAGCCAAAAGGGAUGGUGCAGACGUGGUGUAUUUGGCAGGAAAUGUGGGGAUGUAACCCAAAAAGAGGGGACACAAUCUGAAAUGAGGGUCUGAGAGUGGCUGUGGCAGAAGUUCAUGCCAACCCGCUGCUAAAUGUGCUUCUAUCAUCACCAUGCAGGUACAAAAGGUUUCCAAGAGGAAUUCCAGCUCAGGAAGUGAGGACACAGAGUAUUGAGCACAUCAGGCACUAUUCGGAGUCUGUAAAUAAAGUUUAUUAGGGGGCUCUGGUUCAAAUAUUACAUGAUGAAGGAAUUCAACAGGCAGCUGAAAUGGAUUCUAAGUGACCAAACAGAGAGAGAAUAUAUCUGUGGGACCAAGAAACAUUUAUCUGUCCAGAAGGAGAGAAGAAAAAAAAAAAGCCAGGAACGAUCUAUCAAGAGGGAGGAAAUCUGCGCCUCAGCAAUUGCCAAAAUGUCUUAAUUGCUUUGUAAACUCAUCUCAGUAAAUACAACAUGGAGGGCUGCUGUUGCCUUCUGCUGUAGAAUCACAGAAUCCUUUAGGUUGGAAAAGUCCACUGAGAUCACCUCGUGCCACCACCAGCGAUGUGC
RNAcentral lists this long non-coding RNA (691 nucleotides) under Gallus gallus (chicken). Its description in RNAcentral is "lncRNA (ENSGALG00010027009.1)". Lineage: Eukaryota; Metazoa; Chordata; Aves; Galliformes; Phasianidae. The record is from RNAcentral.